This is an RNA transcript of Mus pahari (shrew mouse), 2197 nucleotides long. It is a transcript of the gene named probable 28S rRNA (cytosine-C(5))-methyltransferase, with no coding region annotated. The transcript is spliced from 2 exons. NCBI's taxonomy places the organism in Eukaryota, Metazoa, Chordata, Mammalia, Rodentia, Muridae. The record is from RefSeq and is a predicted model, not a curated record.
AUGGGACGCAGGUUGGAUCCUAUGAGGAAGAAGCGUGAGCCAGUCUGAAAGGCCCAAAAAGAGAAGGGUACAGAGACCGAACUGGUAAGAUUUUUGCCUGUAGCUGGUGAUGAGAAUUUUAAGAGGCUGUCAAGUCGUGCUCGAAAGAGGGCAGCCAAGAGGAGGGCGUGGUCUCUUGAAGUCCCUAAACCAAAUACAUCUCCUGGAAUUAAAAUAUUACCUGGAGAGUUAUCCAAAGGAGCAGUUCAGCCUCGAGAUGAGAAGUGCGCAGCACCAGUUGAAAACAGUAAUGAAGAUGAGGAGGAAGACUGAAGAUGGUGUGGUGACCCAGGGGGACCUUUGGGGCUCUGAGGACAGUAGUGAAGAUAGGUGGAUGACUAUGGAACUGUCUUUAACUCGGAGCACGAGGAGGAAAAGUUGUUGCCCUAUUAAAAGAGCUGCUCUGAAGCAGAAGGCCUGGGACACCGCAGCUAGGGGGCAGUGGAGUGAAAAGGAUACUGAUGACAAUGAAGGUGAUGGUGUUUCCCCUAAGUCCCAUCCUAGAAGGGAUGACAAAGCAGAGGGGGAUUUGCAGAUUAAUGUAAAAAAAUAAGGAAGCCUUUGUGCCGCCCCCUGCUGGGGAGAUGGACCAGGAUGCCCAGGCUCCAGACCUGGAUCACAAGCGGAUCCAGGAUAUAGUUGGAGUACUUAAGGUUUUGGGGGCUCAGUGAGGAGGCCAGUCUUGAACUGAGUAUCUGAAUCAGCUUCAGAAGGAUCUGGCCAUUUACUAUUCUUAUGGAAACUUCCUGUUAAGUAAGCUCAUGGAGCUGUUCCCUCUGUCUGAGUUGAUAGAGUUCUUAGAAAGUAACGAGGUACCCUGGCCAACACCUUGAAAACCUGUCUCCGAGACCUUGCUCAAGCCCUGAUCAAUCAUGGGGUUAAUCUGGAUCCAUUGGGAAAGUGGUCAAAGUUGGGACUUGCGGUAUAUGAUUCUUCAGUGCCUAUUAGCUCUACUCCCGAGUACCGUGCUGGACACUAUAUGCUGCAGGGAGCUUUGAGUUUGCUACCUGUCAUGACCCUGGCACCUCAGGAGCAUGAGCAGAUCUUAGACGUGUGUUGUGCUCCUUGAGGAAAGACCAGCUACAUAGCUUAGCUGAUGAAGAACACAGGUGUGAUCCUUCAAUGAUGCCAAUGCAGAGCGGCUCAAGAGUGUCGUGGGCAACCUGCACCAAUUGGGAGAAACCAAUCAGCCAUUAUGAUGACCUUCAGAAGGAACUGCUGCUCAGUGCUAUUGACUCAGUCAAUGCUGCCUCCAAAACCAGAGGCUACAUGGUCUACUGCACCUAUUCUAUUACGGUGGAAGAGAACGAGUGGGUGGUAGACUAUGACUUGAAGAAGAGGAAUGUGCGACUGGUGCCCACUGGCCUGGACUUCAGCCAGGACAGUUUUACCCGCUUCCAAGAAAAGUGCUUUCACCCCAUUCUGCAUUCGCUUCUACCCUCACACUCACAAUGUGGAUGGUUUCUUUAUCAUCAAGUUCAAGAAAUUUUCCUAUUCCAUUCCCCAGCCCCACGCAGGAAAUUUGGCAGCAGCUACCCCUACAGAACCUGACCUGAAGGAUCAGGUCACCCUAAAGUCUGAGAACAGUACUGUCAGCCCACCGAGAAAGCCCGUGGGGCUGCAAAAGCAAAGCAGCAGUUGUCUGUCGAGACAGAAACAUUUCAAGAAGUCCUUCAGAAGGUGAACAGCAUCUCCAAAGGGCUAGGCUUGUUGAGUGAAACUUCUGUCCCAAUGCCCAAGUGUCUGCCAGGUCCCGGGAAAGCAGUCAGCUUGAUGGGAAAGCCGAAGUGAUCAGGAAAGAAAGAGGGCUGGGAAGCUGAAGCAACAGCAACCUAAAUGGAAGCUCUCCAAGGAAGCUGCUUUCCCAAAACAGAGUGCCCCUUUCAAGGGUGAGGACUCAGGAACACCUGCUGAGCUGCCCCAAGGCCUAAGGAUGGUGCCCAGAAGGAAGGAAGGAAGAAAGAAAGAAAGAAAGAAAAAGAAAGGGAAGCAGCAGUUAUCAGAGCAACCUGCCAAGAGAGCUGCUUCCCUGCAAGAAGAUGCUGCUCCCAAGGGACCCUCAGCCCCCACUGUUUCUCCCCACAGUUCCACCAAGCCCUCGCCAGCAAAAAGGAGGAAUUCUAUGAGAAAGGGCAGCAGCCAGCCUCUGUUGUCUUGA